GAAGGAGAAUUCCAAAGGGAUCGCAUUGAUCUCUCUCGUGCUCCCUUCUUUUCUUCCGGAUUCGAGAGAUCAUGCCAUUCCUUUGGAAUUUUCCAU
This 96-nucleotide microRNA precursor is filed under the name Musa acuminata subsp. malaccensis (wild Malaysian banana). RNAcentral's name for it is "mir-393 microRNA precursor family". It matches the Rfam family "mir-393 microRNA precursor family". The record is from Rfam by way of RNAcentral. RNAcentral also lists the same sequence under 1 other name. Lineage: Eukaryota; Viridiplantae; Streptophyta; Magnoliopsida; Zingiberales; Musaceae.